RNAcentral lists this ribosomal RNA (318 nucleotides) under Triticum aestivum (bread wheat). RNAcentral describes it as "partial small subunit ribosomal RNA". The record is from RNAcentral. Lineage: Eukaryota; Viridiplantae; Streptophyta; Magnoliopsida; Poales; Poaceae.
AAACCCAAAGACCAGGGUGGCCUUGGGAUCCUAUCCUCCAGGCGGAUGAACAUCGCUCUCCUGACGCGCUGGCUUUGGUGGAUCGCCAAUGGGGAAGGGGGGCUUUGGCUUACCAUCAUCCGCAAUAAAUACCUCCGCGGACAGCCUCUUGCCUUUUGUCAACGCUCCGGUGGAUCCCAGUUUUUGCAGGCUAUGAUUCAGCUCCUUCCUGUUCUCUGUAUUGGUACCUCCAUUGAGCUUUGGCGGCCGCUUAGCCGCCCCCAGGACCGGGACGCCAUCGACACCCUCCUCGCCGACCUCCGCGCGAUGGCCUUCUGA